GUAAAUAAACCAAAGCGGUGUUUAUAAAUUCGCGUUUCAUACUCGUCAGGCUAUUUAAAGAGUCAAGAAAAUCUGAUACUCGGAACUCGGAAAAUGUGCAAGUAACCGAACCAUAGUUAAAUGAUCGCGUCACGAUUUUCAGAUCGUCAGUUCGUCGAGAUCAGCCGAGUCGAAUGGUUGACUGAUCAUUCGUCGACUCGUGUAUAUCGUGAUUAGUGUAACGAAACAGAGGCCCCAGUUCGUGGAGGGAUUAUCAGAGAAACAACGCGUGCGCCGCUUUCCUUCUACGAUUAAUGAUAUCAGGAACUCUUGAAAAAUCGUUUUACGUAUCUUUAAUCACCACUCAAAUAGACCAUUCGAAAAUAGAAUUUAUAUUGGAUAGUCUAUGGAAGGAUAAGCUCGGUCUAUUGACACUGUACCGAUCUGUCAGUCAAACUGUACGGACCUAUUGACGUCUUUUGCGUCAGCGUUGAGCAGUUUACCAGGGAUAGACAGACAUUUCUCUUCGAACAUGACUAAAUCGCAUCUAGAAAAGUGAAAAUAUUUUUUCCAGUCGGGGCCCAGUUGAUCAAGAUUAAAUUGGAUGCUGUUCUCCGGUGAAGUGCGGGCCAUCGUCCACGCGAGUUGAUCUCGUAACAAGUCUAUGUCGAUUUCAACAUCGAAUUAAUGCGUAAUCUUCAUCUCGUCGAUUUCUUGGUAUUUCGAAGGCAAUUGCAAAAUGAGAUUGUUACCUGUGGUGGUGUUUUGCGCGGUAUUGUCGGUAUGUUACGGAUACCGGAUAUUAGGGGUAUUUCCUUUCAAUGGGAAGAGCCAUUUCGUAAUGUUCGAGCGGCUGAUGAAGGUUUUGGCGAAGAGGGGUCACCAAGUUGACGUGAUCAGCACGUUUCCCUUAAAGGAACCGUAUCCUAAUUAUACCGACCUGAUCGUGCUUCCGACAGCGAGGGAUUUCAUGAACAAUUUGACCUACGAAGAAGUAAUGACGAAAUUCAGGACAUCGAUUCCAGCCGCUGUGGCCACGAUGGCAGGGAACGUUGUUUGCGAACAUUUGAACCACCCGGAGAUUCAGAAAUUUAUCCGUAAUCCGCCUAAUGACCCACCUUACGACCUGAUAAUCAUGGAGGUGUUUGGCGCACACUGUUACGCGAUACUGGGCGACAUCUUGAAGGUGCCAGUAAUAGGUGUCAGCACGUGCGUUCUUUAUCCAUGGAUUUCCGAUUACAUCGCGAACCCGGAAAACCUGGCGUUCGAGCCAACCAACCUCCUCUCCUAUCCUCAGAAAAUGAACUUCUGGCAGAGGCUGCACAACGUCGUGAACAACAUCUACGCGAAAUACGAAUUCAACUCGAUCACCAGCGAACAGACCGCGAUGUUGAGGAAGUACGUGAACCCGGAUGCACCUGACGUGAGGGAAUUAGAGAAAAAAGUAUCGAUGAUAUUGGUGAAUUCGCAUGUGUCGAUCAACGGAAUUAAAGACUCCAACCCUGCGUUCAUCGAAAUCGGAGGACUGCACGUGACAGAAGAAGGAGUCAAGUUACCGCCUAGCCUGGAGAAAUGGAUGAACGAGAGCACGCAUGGGUUCAUCUACUUCUCGUUUGGAUCAAUGGUGAAGAUCGAAUCCUUCCCGGCUGGCCAUAUCGAGAUAUUUUACAAUGCCAUGAAGAAGAUAGCACCUGUUCGUGUUCUGAUGAAGAUAGCGAAAUCGGAGGAACUUCCGCCUAACUUGCCCAAGAACGUCCUUACUUUACCGUGGAUACCACAGAUCAAAGUUCUCAAGCAUCCGAACGUGAAAGCGUUCAUCACUCAUGGGGGCCUCAUGGGUACUCAGGAAGCUAUUCACUUUGGUGUGCCUCUGGUCGGUAUACCGCUGUUUGCCGAUCAGUUUAUCAAUAUCAAGAACUAUGUUCGACACAACAUUGCGGUAGCACUGCACAUUGAUACUCUGAAUCAGGAGGAUCUGGAUCACGCCUUGAACGUUGUUCUACACGACCCCAAAUACCGAAACGCAGCACGGAAAUUGUCGAGAAGGUUCCUGGAUCGACCAUUAAGCGCAGAGGAGACCGCGGUUUAUUGGGUCGAAUACAUUGCAAGACACGGUGCAAAUGUCCUCAGAUCGCCAGCGAUGGACUUAACAUGGUGGCAAUUGUAUUUGGUGGAUGUUUACGUAUUUCUCCUAGUGGCGGCGCUCGCGGUGACUUAUCUUAUAGCGACUUUGGUGCAAUUUGUGUUCUACGUAGCUUACACAGGUUCCACUGUUCCGCGCAAGAAGAAGGUUUCAUAACUACUUUCUUUCCCCUACUUUAUGUUGAGUUGAUGAUGUGAAAUGUCGAUUCGCUUCUCCUCGAUUUUAUCGCUGGAUCCACUUUUAUCGAAGUAAAGUAUUUCCGUGUUAUGGCCGAGUACGCUCGAAAAAUCAACAACAACACGCAACGUUGAAAAUAAACAUUUUUAUCGAUGGUGCGCGUCCUUUCCUGCAUUUCUGCUCGCAGAAAUUCGCAAUUUGCACAUCGUUGGUCAAUAAAAAUAAUGUACUAUGAUGUUGA
RNAcentral lists this unclassified non-coding RNA (2540 nucleotides) under Eufriesea mexicana. Its description in RNAcentral is "uDP-glucuronosyltransferase 2B1-like, transcript variant X1". Lineage: Eukaryota; Metazoa; Arthropoda; Insecta; Hymenoptera; Apidae. The record is from RNAcentral.